This 454-nucleotide ribosomal RNA is filed under the name uncultured bacterium. Its description in RNAcentral is "bacterial SSU rRNA". It matches the Rfam family "Bacterial small subunit ribosomal RNA", at positions 340 to 786 of the family's 1533-position model. The record is from RNAcentral.
UACGGAAGGCAGCAGUGGGGAAUAUUGCACAAUGGGCGCAAGCCUGAUGCAGCCAUGCCGCGUGUAUGAAAAAGGCCUUCGGGUUGUAAAGUACUUUCAGUCGUGAGGAAGGUGUUAAGGUUAAUAACCUUAGCAAUUGACGUUAGCGACAGAAGAAGCACCGGCUAACUCCGUGCCAGCAGCCGCGGUAAUACGGAGGGUGCGAGCGUUAAUCGGAAUUACUGGGCGUAAAGGGCACGCAGGCGGUUAAUUAAGUUGGAUGUGAAAUCCCCGGGCUUAACCUGGGAAUGGCAUUCAAGACUGGUUAGCUAGAGUCUUGUAGAGGGGGUAGAAUUCCCAUGUGUAGCGGUGAAAUGCGUAGAGAUGUGGAGGAAUACCGGUGGCGAAGGCGGCCCCUGGACAAAGACUGACGCUCAUGUGCGAAAGCGUGGGGAGCAAACAGGGAUUAGAUACC